RNAcentral lists this transfer-messenger RNA (371 nucleotides) under Cognatishimia activa. It matches the Rfam family "Alphaproteobacteria transfer-messenger RNA". From Rfam's summary of the family: Bacterial tmRNA, also known as 10Sa RNA or SsrA, is named for its dual tRNA and mRNA-like properties. Its role is to liberate the mRNA from a stalled ribosome. The record is from RNAcentral. Lineage: Bacteria; Pseudomonadati; Pseudomonadota; Alphaproteobacteria; Rhodobacterales; Paracoccaceae.
UCCCUUGCAAAGCACCGCGCCAAGGCCUAAAUCUUAACCGUCCUUCGGGACUAUGGACAUAAAUGCGCUCGCAAUAAGCGGAUCGGACCCGGGGGCGGUACCCGGCGUCUCCACCAAACACUCUGGCGGCUUCCUUCAUUUGGGGUUGUUCAUCAGAAGAGCGGGGACGAAAUAGGAUCGACGAACGUCUAAAGGGGUUAGCUUUGUCUCGGCUGUCUGCCACCGUUACCGGCGAAAACUGUACAAUUGCAAAUGACAAUCGUGCUCCAGUAGCAAUGGCUGCGUAAGCAGUCGGAGAUACUGAAACUUAAGUCCCUGGGCUAGCUGCCCUUGGCGGGGUUCGUAGGUACCUGGCAACAGAAACCUACAUU